RNAcentral lists this ribosomal RNA (250 nucleotides) under uncultured bacterium. Its description in RNAcentral is "partial 16S ribosomal RNA". It matches the Rfam family "Bacterial small subunit ribosomal RNA", at positions 524 to 773 of the family's 1533-position model. The record is from RNAcentral.
AACGUAGGAGGCGAGCGUUAUCCGGAUUCACUGGGCGUAAAGCGCCAGUAGGUGGUUCUGCAAGUCGAGUGUUAAAGCCCCUGGCUCAACUGGGGGAGGUCAUUCGAAACUGCGGGACUGGAGGACAGCAGAGGAGAGUGGAACUCCCGGUGUAGCGGUGGAAUGCGUAGAGAUCGGGAAGAACACCAGUGGCGAAGGCGACUCUCUGGGCUGUGCCUGACACUGAGAGGCGAAAGCGUGGGGAGCAAAC